GCUCCUGAGCUCAAGCUAUCCACUUGCCUCAGCCUCCCAAAUUGCUGAGAUUAGAAGAAUGAGCCACUGUGCCUGUGACUUACUUCUAACCCACAGAAUAGAGCAACAGUGAGAGGAUGUCAAUUCUGUGAUAGAUUGCAAAAUAUUGUAAGUUCCUAGCAGUCUUUCUCAUUGGUUUCAAUAAAAAAAAGCUGCUGUGCUGGAGGGACCCAUGAGGCAAAGAACUGAGAGCAGCCUUUAGCUAACAGCCGGCAAGGAAUGAGGUGCUUGGUCCAGCAAUCACAGAGAAACUGAAUCCUGCUGAUGAUCAUGAGGGUGAGCUUGGAAGCAGAUUCUGUCCCAGAUGAACUUUGAUUGUGUCUUGUUAGAAACCCUGGACCAACUCCUUGAUUGCACCUGUGAGAGGCCCUGAAGCGGAGGGCCCAGCUAAGGUGUGUCUGGAUUUCUGACCCACAGAAACUGAGAUCAUAAAUGUGUGGUUUUAAGCCCGUAAGUUUUGGAAUACAGUAGAUCUUCAUUAUUCACAGAUUUUGCACUUGCAAAUUUGCUUACUCGCUAAAAUUUAUUUGUAUCCCUAAAAUCAGUACUCCAGCACUUUCACAGUCAUUUACGGCAUCUGCAGAGCAGUGAAAAAUUUGAAUUGCCUGAGAUACAUGCUCCCUGCUGAAGUCGCACAAGCUGGCCAAUCCUGCUAAUCCUUUAAAACUCACCUGGAGGGAAGGCCUCCUUCUGCAAAGCCUCUCUUGAUGCAGAUUAUCAGCUUUCACUCUCUACCAGAUGGCAAGGAUAUUGCUGUUGGCUCAUAGGAUGUGAACAGUGGUGUUGAGAUUACCCUCAUUUGGCUGAUGAUGUCAUUGAGGCCCAGAGAAGGUAAGUAAUGUACCAAGGUUACAGACUAGUAAGUGACAGAGAUGGGUUUUGAGCCCCAUUCUUCUACAUUGUGUGCAAUAGCUCAUAUCAAGGUCACUAAAGCUGAAGACUGAAUUAUUUAUUCAAAUACUGCCAUCAUGCACCAAUAUUCUCAACAGGUAGGACACCUGGCAGGGCCUGGCUUUGGGGCUAACUUCUGCAGCUCUUUUGAUUGCCCCCACCUUACAGUUUUUGGCACAGAGCACUGUGUAGCUGGCACUUCUCUACUGGCCCGAAUGAGAAAACUUCCUCAGAGCAAAAUGUCAAGCACCAAAUAAGAUUCAUGUUUACUGUGAAGUGAUUGCUGCUUUUUAAAUGCUUAUCAGAAGCCGAAGGACAAACUCAGUAGGUUGAUUCAUGCUGAGCUCGACUACCUCCGUGAGAAAUGACUCUCCUGUAGGGCUCGAUGACCUUCAUGUCAAUGCGCUGCUCUUGUUCUCCAAUGACCACUGUCCUCCAAAGCCGGUUGUCCUCCCGUUCCUCUUCGGCCGUAUAUUCUGGAAUAGACUCUGACUCUUGGCCAGAAUCUUUGUUGGCUGUGGGAUCUUCUGGAAACAAAGCACAGAGCAAGGCUGAAGGAGCAAGACCUCCACAGUGCAGCUAAACAGCCAAAUGAGUCUCCCGCAAGUCAGGAAAACUGGAUAAAAAGAGGCCUAAAUGUGAGCAAGAGCUAUCAUGUUUGGCUUCAAGUAUAUCCGCUACAUCCUACCUUCUCUGUGACGACUUUGAAAAGUGUCCAUGAAUUCUUUGACACUCUUUUCAAAAGGUGGAGCCUAAUUUCCCGUCCCUUAAGUGUGGACUGAUGAUUUGCUUCUAAAGAACAGAAUAAGGUGGAAUGGAUGGUAGGUGACUUCUAAGGCUAGGUCCUAAAAAGCACUGUGUGCUUUGUUCUCUCUUGGGUCUCUCAGUCUGGGAGAAACCAGCUACCCUGUUGUAAGGACAGUCAAGCAGCCCUGUGGAGAGUCCAUGUGGCAAGGAACUGAGGCUUCCUGUGAAAAUCCAGGAAGGAACUGAAGCCUUCUGCCAACAGCCAUGUGAACGAGCCAUCUUGGAGGCAGAUCCUGCAGCCUGGCUAAUGUCUUGAUGGCAACUUAACAAGAUACCUUAAGCCAGAACCAUCUAGCUAAUACACUCUUGAAUUCCUAUUACAAACACUGGGAAAUAAUCAAUGUUUGUUGUUUUAAGCUGCUAAACUUUGAUAUUAUUUAUUUUAUUCAUUUAUUUUUUG
Molecule: long non-coding RNA, 2137 nt
Filed under: Homo sapiens (human)
Lineage: Eukaryota; Metazoa; Chordata; Mammalia; Primates; Hominidae
Description: HSALNT0352907
Source: RNAcentral